GAUGAACGCUGGCGGCGUGCCUAAUACAUGCAAGUCGAGCGAACAGACGAGGAGCUUGCUCCUCUGACGUUAGCGGCGGACGGGUGAGUAACACGUGGAUAACCUACCUAUAAGACUGGGAUAACUUCGGGAAACCGGAGCUAAUACCGGAUAACAUGUUGAACCGCAUGGUUCAACAGUGAAUGACGGUCUUGCUGUCACUUAUAGAUGGAUCCGCGCCGCAUUAGCUAGUUGGUAAGGUAACGGCUUACCAAGGCAACGAUGCGUAGCCGACCUGAGAGGGUGAUCGGCCACACUGGAACUGAGACACGGUCCAGACUCCUACGGGAGGCAGCAGUAGGGAAUCUUCCGCAAUGGGCGAAAGCCUGACGGAGCAACGCCGCGUGAGUGAAGAAGGUCUUCGGAUCGUAAAACUCUGUUAUUAGGGAAGAACAAAUGUGUAAGUAACUAUGCACGUCUUGACGGUACCUAAUCAGAAAGCCACGGCUAACUACGUG
This 497-nucleotide ribosomal RNA is filed under the name uncultured bacterium. Its description in RNAcentral is "partial 16S ribosomal RNA". It matches the Rfam family "Bacterial small subunit ribosomal RNA", at positions 28 to 507 of the family's 1533-position model. The record is from RNAcentral.